GUCUCAGCUCGAGCAUUCCUAGCGCCAACACGCCCUCAGGUAAAGGUGGAAGUAAAUGGCCACGCUGUAUUGACAGAGGUAGGGUUUGUUUUUUAAUACUCGUUCUCACUUUAAGUCUCACCAGGGAGGGGUUUGGGAAGCACUGCGUGUUUGGGGGACGUUUUGCGCUUCCUGGUCUCUCCAGCCUACAAGUCGGGAGUCGGCGACCGCUUAGUGACGAGCGAUGAUUUUAAAGAGCAGAAUAAAAGGUUUUCCCGUGCCUGCCCCACAGCCCCUCCAGCUCGAAUAAUGGAGAACUGUCAAUGCACUCCGCGAGCGGUGGCCCAUUGUACGCAGCUGAUGGCGAGGAGGCGACUGGGGGUAGCAGGGGCUCCUUGCCCUCGUCCCUAUGCCCAAAUAAACGCGCAAACGCGCUCCCGUCUUCUGGUCAGUUAAAAGGUGAAACGAACACGAUUAAAAUAGACCAAAAGAAAAGAAAGAAAAGAAAACCUUUCUAUGUACAGAUUCUAAAUCGUACUCCCCAUACAGUCAGAGGCAGGGAGUCGAGGGCAGAGGCAGCAGGCGGAGAGAGGGAGAUAGGGCGAGGGAAGGAGAACGCGGAGAGAGACGAAGGGAGUGGGAGACCAGCGACAGCGAGCGCCAGGGCACCGCAGGCACACUGGAUGCCCAGUCCGCCGGCCCAGCCGCCCUCGGACCCUGGACCGUGCGUCGUGGGCACCAGAAACGAGACUCGGCCAAAUCCUGCCUCACCAGACAGGGACUGAGAAACGGAAAUACUACCAUCCUCCAGCCAAUCUGUUGGGAGGACUGCUUGCAGAGGACUCGUGCUCCAGAUGUUGCACUAGAGGCGCUGCAAGUGUGAGCAGCAGGUAGAUGAAACUCAAGAGAAAAGGUGUGGAUAAAUGAAACUAGCCCAUGAUGAACCUGUUUUCUCCGUGACCACAAUAUUAACCAGGAUGAAUGGCGGUGGCAGUGGGCCUGCAUCACAGGUUGCAGCAGAUGUUCUCAAUAUUUCUAUUAAAAUUUCCUUAUUUCCAUAUGCAAGAGGAGCCCCAGAGCUGCAUCCUUAUGGUAGCUACCAUGCCGUGAUGUAAGCUGCCAUUCACUGGGGAGCUUUGGCAAUAGAAUUGGCUAGAUCAGGAAGCCUAUGUCAACUAUGGAACAACAACUUGCAGCUCAUCUCUAUUGAUGGUGAAACAGUCGCAAAUGGAAUUCCAAGAAACAUUCUAUAUACACUGCCUCUAGGACUGGGACAGAUAGCCACUGAGUACCUGCUUCAAAUCACCCUGCACGUUUUCUCUUUGGAAAGAUAAGCACUGGAGAACCAUCUCGUUACCUUCAGCAGAAAUGGAAACAAAUCAAGACAUUAAGAAUGCCGCAGUGGACAGCAGUUAUGCAAGGUUCAGCAGAGGAAGUUUUCAAGAUGGUGUGCCUCACUAGCCAGAAAUCAGAAAAGAUCGAAGCUAGCCUUUUCAUCUCAGCUGCUCCUUAAAUCAGUGCAACCCCUCCAAAUUAAUGUGAAUUGAAACUUGCAUUGCUUUUCAACUUAAUUGAAUACUUACUAUAUGUGAACCACUGCACAAAAUAGGGGAAGAAGAUGUGGGAGACAAAGAUGUGGAGCCUGUCUUCAAUAAAUUUACAGUUAGUUUCAGGGUACAUUGUUUUUCUUCUGCUGUUAAUUAGGUGUAUCCCCAAGACAAUAAAUACAUGAAUGGAAAAGUAUAUUCUGUGUUUUAAGUCUCUUUAAUAAAAAACAAAACAAAAUCCAAAAAAACUCCUAACAUGGCAACUCAGGACAUUUUAAUCCUUUUUUUUGUUGUUGGGCUUCUGAUAGGAUCCAUUUUAUUGAUUCCAUAAAUAUUUAGUAGACUUUAGACAUAUUAAUACAUUGUAGUUUGAGUUAAUUUGCAUUAAAUUCUGUUUUUUUCCCCUUAGGUAUAGAUUGUCUGUUGGAAAAAUAUAUUGCUUGUGGAUUUCUUGGGGAGUGGGAAGGUGAAUUAUACCUGUUGUCUCUACAGUCCACUACCUUCCACACCCUAGGGCAGUGGUCCCCAACCUUCUUGGCACCAGGGAUCAGUUUCCUGGAAGACAAUUUUUCUGUGGAUGGUGUGGGGAUGGUUUUGGGAUGGAACUGUUCCACCUCAGAUCAUCAGGCAUUAGUUAGGCUCUCAUAACGAGUGCGCAGCCUAGAUCCCUCACAUGCACAGUUCACAGUAGGGUUUGCGCUGCUAUGAGAAUCUAAGGCUGCCACUGAUCUGACAGGAGGCAGAACUCAGGUGGCAAUGCUUACUGGCCCACUGCUCACCUCUUGCUGUGCGGCCUGGUUCCUAAUAGGCCAUGGACCCCCACAGACGGGUACUAGUCUGCAGCCUGUGGACCCCAGCCCUAGGGGCCUGCCAUUCUGAGUGAGUUAUUAGCAUGAAGAAGAGGAAGAUCUGGAUCAAACGUGGGUGAUGGUACUCAGAGACCCAAGAUAGGAUAGGGAUGGAACAAAAUCCAUCUGGGCAACGGCUCUAUGAAAAUUUGGCUAAGUAAUUAUUUCAGUAUUCAUUGUAUUCAUUGUCCUUCGUGUUCCAUAAGUUAAAUGACUGUCUAAUUUUUCCAAAAAUUUAUUUCUGACUUGAGAAUAAGUGUGUCAUGAUUUUCCCAGUGUAAAGACACUGAUAUAACUGUAGAUACCAGACAUUUUAUGUAGUGUCUAUGACACAUUUUAGUAUGUAUGAGCCAACAAUAGACAUGUCUUUGUCUUGAGGAGUGUCCAUCUGAAUUGAAAAUGUGUCAGCUUUUUUUUAACAUCAUCAACAGACUUCUUAAUUAAGCUGCCAAUACAUACUGCCAAUAGCACUGUGUGCUGUCUGAGAAAUGCAUUGUGUAAGUGCUAUUUCCAUCUUAUUAAAUAAACAAUGUUGCUCUGUAUAAACUGGAUUUAAAGUGUUCUUUGAAUGAGGCAUUAUAUUGCUCCAUAAAUAAUGUGAUGUGAAUUCUCAUAUGAUCCCUUUUAACUUAAUUUCUAAAAAAAUAUUAUUUGCUCCUCAGUAAGGAAUAGCUCUAAUUGGACUGGUAACUUUAGUGAUAUGAUUUGUCUGUAACAGGCUGAAUCGCCCCACUCCCAAACUCCUGGUCGUGAUACUGGAUAUUUGUUAUGCCACUUUUAGUUUGCAUGAGGUAUCUUCCAGGAAGUAUUAGUUAUUAACUUGUGUUCUACUAAACUGUAGAUAUUUAUUUCCUGUUCUGGAAGAUUUCUUGGAGUGUCCAUCUGUGCAUUCCUGGUGCCUAGUGUAGUCUUGCUAAUGGAAUAGCACCUUUAUUGGUGCUACUUAGGGGUUGGUAGCUUACAAUCAAUCUACUUGGAACGUAUCCAAAUAAACUGGAUAUUUUUAUACA
RNAcentral lists this long non-coding RNA (3384 nucleotides) under Homo sapiens (human). Its description in RNAcentral is "NR2F1 regulatory antisense RNA 1, transcript variant 25 (NR2F1-AS1)". The record is from RNAcentral. Lineage: Eukaryota; Metazoa; Chordata; Mammalia; Primates; Hominidae.